Molecule: ribosomal RNA, 253 nt
Filed under: uncultured bacterium
Lineage: Bacteria
Description: partial 16S ribosomal RNA
Rfam family: Bacterial small subunit ribosomal RNA
Source: RNAcentral
UACGGGGGGGGCAAGCGUUGUUCGGAAUUACUGGGCGUAAAGGGCUCGUAGGUGGCCAACUAAGUCAGACGUGAAAUCCCUCGGCUUAACCGGGGAACUGCGUCUGAUACUGGAUGGCUGGAGUUUGGGAGAGGGAUGUGGAAUGCCCGGUGGAGCGGUGAAAUGCGUAGAGAUCGGGCGGAACACCAAUAGCGAAGGCAGCUCGCUGGGACGGUACUGACGCUGAGGCGCGAAAGCGUGGGGAGCGAACAGG